This 468-nucleotide ribosomal RNA is filed under the name uncultured bacterium. Its description in RNAcentral is "partial 16S ribosomal RNA". It matches the Rfam family "Bacterial small subunit ribosomal RNA", at positions 28 to 507 of the family's 1533-position model. The record is from RNAcentral.
GACGAACGCUGGCGGCGUGCUUAACACAUGCAAGUCGAACGGAAAGGCCCUGCUUUUGUGGGGUGCUCGAGUGGCGAACGGGUGAGUAACACGUGAGUAACCUGCCCUUGACUUUGGGAUAACUUCAGGAGACUGGGGCUAAUACCGGAUAGGAGCUCCUGCUGCAUGGUGGGGGUUGGAAAGUUUCGGCGGUUGGGGAUGGACUCGCGGCUUAUCAGCUUGUUGGUGGGGUAGUGGCUUACCAGGGCUUUGACGGGUAGCCGGCCUGAGAGGGUGACCGGCCACAUUGGGACUGAGAUACGGCCCAGACUCCUACGGGAGGCAGCAGUGGGGAAUAUUGCACAAUGGGCGGAAGCCUGAUGCAGCAACGCCGCGUGCGGGAUGACGGCCUUCGGGUUGUAAACCGCUUUCGCCUGUGACGAAGCGUGAGUGACGGUAAUGGGUAAAGAAGCACCGGCUAACUACGUG